UGUGUGUGUGUGUGUGUGUGUGUGUGGGGCGCCGUCCCCUUCCCAUGCCGCGCGCGAUUGAGGACUGGAGUGGAGCAGGUUUCCGCACCAAACAGCCGUUGAAUGCGGGUCAGCCGACCGUGAGUCAAGUGGUAAAUCACCAGUUCAACCAAGGCCGCCGUGAGGACACAGACCCAUCGAUGCUCAGAUCGGACAGGGGCGGGGGUGGCAAACAGGCAAGCGCGCGCAACAUUCUGCUGCGAUGGGCGCGGAGCGCCCUCCGUUCGGUGGUGACACCGCCCGUGCUCGGCGCAAGCGGGCGUCAGGGGCGGUGUACCCCCCGGGGAGCUCCCCCCUCGCCUCCCCCCGAUGCAGGCUCACGCGGGCUACCGAUUCGCAUGCCAGAUGGUGGCGCACGCCCCCCGCUCAGCAGGGCGGCGUGCCUCUCCACGCCGGUUGGUCUCCCCCCCCACACUCUUCCCCUCCCCCGACCCCGGGCCGCCCGGGAGCCCCCCCCAACCCGUUACGCACCCGGGUGCGUAAUGGGGUAAUGUGUAAUGUGGUAAAUGCGUGGCAGUGUAACCAAGUGCGUGCGUGUGUGUGUGNNNNUGCGGCGGWGUGAGGGGGCGUGGGCGCGGGGGGGACGCGCUCCCGGACCCCUGAACCCUCGUACUGAAUCACCGCAGCCGGUCUCCUCGACCAGACGUCGCUUGUCCACGGGAUCAAUGCAGCUAAGGGAAGUCGGCAAACCGGCCACGUACCCUCGGAAGAUGUGGUGGCUCCAGAGGCCAAGCCACGGGGCCCGGUCGCUGGCCGUGCGGUUCCCUCCCGCGGAGGCGGCGCCCCCGCCCCCCCUCAGCGCCCCCGCCCAGGCGGGGGUCGGGGGGCGGCCCCCUCGCUGCCCCGUCCCCGCCGGGCCCGCCCGUCCCCGCGUCCACCCAGGUGGCCCGCGUGGAACCGUUGCCGUGCGGGGGAAUCCGACUGUUUAAUUGAAACCCAGCCUCGCGACGGGACCCGCCGGCCGGUGCCGCGAGGUGACUUCUGCCCAGUGCUCUGAUUGUCAAUGCGAAGAGAUCCAGCCAAGCGCGGGUAAACGGCGGGAGUAACUAUGACUCUCUUAAGGUAGCCAAAUGCCUCGUCAACCAAUUAUUGACGCGCAUGAAUGGAUCAACGAGAUUCCUGCUGUCCCUAGGUGCCGCCUGGUGAACCAACAGCCAAGGGAACGGGCUUGGGGGUGUCAGCGGGGAAAGAAGACCCUGUUGAGUCU
Molecule: ribosomal RNA, 1246 nt
Filed under: Euglena velata
Lineage: Eukaryota; Euglenozoa; Euglenophyceae; Euglenales; Euglenaceae
Description: partial large subunit ribosomal RNA
Rfam family: Eukaryotic large subunit ribosomal RNA (bases 696-1246)
Source: RNAcentral